Molecule: non-coding RNA, 97 nt
Organism: Xylaria digitata
Lineage: Eukaryota; Fungi; Ascomycota; Sordariomycetes; Xylariales; Xylariaceae
Source: the annotation of a GenBank genome assembly
GGUCCCAUAGCUCAGUUGGUUAGAGCGUCGUACUAAUAUUAUCUCAUCAUAACAUUGGUAAAUGCGAAGGCCGUGAGUUCGAGCCUCACUAGGACCA